CGAGUCUCCUGUAGGAAAUGCCUUCUGUGUUCACAGUCGUGUCUCACCUGUAAGUGACUGGUAUAAUCCACAAAGACUGUCUGAGAGUUUGUACUUACAGAUGCUUCUGAGGCUUUUAAUCAUGGGUGGUCUUGGGUUCAUGAAGGAGAGUCAUUCAUCCACUCAGCUGUGAUAUUCUUCCUGUCUGGAGAUUCUGCUUAGUAACCCGUUGUCAUGGUGGUGGACUUGCGCUCUGAUUGGACGAGACACGAGGCCUCCGGGACUCCAGCGUGCAGCUGAUUUAGAAAAUGCAGCCAGGGGUGAGACCAGGGGUCAGUCGCUGCAUAUUGAAGCCAGAUGUGUCCCAAGAAACAGGCUGAAUAUUGGGAAGAACAUGGCUCUAUUUCCCCUCCCACUCCCCACAAUUCCAGCAUCAACAACAACUCGAACAAAAUCAACACUUCUUUCCAAGAAAGCAUAUGGUUCACACAUGUGCAGACAGAACAAUGCUUUAUUUUCUUCGUAAGUCAUGUUGACUAGACGCAGGACUUUUGAUUGCUGUAUUCAGCCAACAGGGAGGCUGUAGUCUCUCUGUAUGUAUACCCACAUAUCAACACAUCUCGCUUUCACCAUGAGGGUAGAACAAACACACCUAGCAAUGUUUUCCUUCACAGUCUUCAGUAAGGAAUUGUUUACAAAGAGCUGAACUGGAGAUACGAUGAUCUUGCACAUGAAAGUGAAUAUUUCUUCUUGAAAGCUGUUGGAAUUUGGUUAUUAAAAUCAUCUGUGUCAGUGUUUUUAUCAUUAAUGAAAAGCAAAAACUAAA
Long non-coding RNA from Myxocyprinus asiaticus (Chinese sucker), 805 nucleotides. RefSeq lists it as uncharacterized. The record is from RefSeq and is a predicted model, not a curated record. Lineage: Eukaryota; Metazoa; Chordata; Actinopteri; Cypriniformes; Catostomidae. The transcript is spliced from 3 exons.